GGGGAUGUAGCUCAGUGGUAGAGCAUUCGACUGCAGAUCGAGAGGUCCUCGGUUCAAUCCCGGGCGUCCCCU
Molecule: transfer RNA, 72 nt
Filed under: Penaeus chinensis
Lineage: Eukaryota; Metazoa; Arthropoda; Malacostraca; Decapoda; Penaeidae
Description: tRNA-Cys
Rfam family: tRNA
About the family: Transfer RNA (tRNA) molecules are approximately 80 nucleotides in length.
Source: RNAcentral